This 930-nucleotide ribosomal RNA is filed under the name uncultured Streptococcus sp. RNAcentral describes it as "bacterial SSU rRNA". It matches the Rfam family "Bacterial small subunit ribosomal RNA", at positions 60 to 965 of the family's 1533-position model. Lineage: Bacteria; Bacillati; Bacillota; Bacilli; Lactobacillales; Streptococcaceae. The record is from RNAcentral.
AGUGGACGCACAGAAUACACCGUAGUUUACUACACCGUAUUCAGUGAGUCGCGAACGGGUGAGUAACGCGUAGGUAACCUGCCUGGUAGCGGGGGAUAACUAUUGGAAACGAUAGCUAAUACCGCAUAAGAAUAGAUAUUGCAUGAUAUCUAUUUAAAAGAUGCAACCGCAUCACUACCAGAUGGACCUGCGUUGUAUUAGCUAGUUGGUGGGGUAACGGCUCACCAAGGCAACGAUACAUAGCCGACCUGAGAGGGUGAUCGGCCACACUGGGACUGAGACACGGCCCAGACUCCUACGGGAGGCAGCAGUAGGGAAUCUUCGGCAAUGGGGGGAACCCUGACCGAGCAACGCCGCGUGAGUGAAGAAGGUUUUCGGAUCGUAAAGCUCUGUUGUUAAGGAAGAACGGGUGUGAGAGUGGAAAGUUCACACAGUGACGGUACUUAACCAGAAAGGGACGGCUAACUACGUGCCAGCAGCCGCGGUAAUACGUAGGUCCCGAGCGUUGUCCGGAUUUAUUGGGCGUAAAGCGAGCGCAGGCGGUUAGAUAAGUCUGAAGUGAAAGGCAGUGGCUCAACCAUUGUAGGCUUUGGAAACUGUUUAACUUGAGUGCAGAAGGGGAGAGUGGAAUUCCAUGUGUAGCGGUGAAAUGCGUAGAUAUAUGGAGGAACACCGGUGGCGAAAGCGGCUCUCUGGUCUGUAACUGACGCUGAGGCUCGAAAGCGUGGGGAGCGAACAGGAUUAGAUACCCUGGUAGUCCACGCCGUAAACGAUGAGUGCUAGGUGUUAGGUCCUUUCCGGGACUUAGUGCCGCAGCUAACGCAUUAAGCACUCCGCCUGGGGAGUACGACCGCAAGGUUGAAACUCAAAGGAAUUGACGGGGGCCCGCACAAGCGGUGGAGCAUGUGGUUUAAUUCGAAGCAACGCGAA